RNAcentral lists this ribosomal RNA (2786 nucleotides) under Triticum aestivum (bread wheat). RNAcentral describes it as "bacterial LSU rRNA". The stretch from base 486 to 2786 matches the Rfam family "Bacterial large subunit ribosomal RNA". Lineage: Eukaryota; Viridiplantae; Streptophyta; Magnoliopsida; Poales; Poaceae. The record is from RNAcentral.
GGCCAUCUGAUUGUGGGUGAUAGGCAGAGCUAAACCUCAAUUUCACUUGCAGUGCUUUGAAGAAGACCUGCCACAUGUUACUUGUGAAUAUCUAGUUUCUAUCAGAGAGUAUUGACUUUGGCAAUCCAUUCCACUUAAAAACAUUAUCCAUGAAAGCAUGAGAGACUGAUUGUACUAUAUAAGGGUGAGAAAGGGGAAUGAAAUGAGAAUAUUUAGUGAACCUGUCCACCACCAACAAUAUGACUUCUUUGCCCAAUGAUUUGGGAAGACCCUCAAAGAAAUCCAGGGAGAUGUCAGUCCAAGCAGAAGUAGGUAAUGGCAAUGGAUCUAGGAGACCAGGGUAGUGGCAAUGCUCUCCCUUGACUCUUUGGCAAACUGCACACUCAUGUAGAAAAGUUUCAAUCUCCUGGCCUGGCGCCAAUCAAAUAGCUUUUUUACCAUUUGAUAAGUAGCCACAAUGCCUGAAUGGCCUCCUAUGGGAGAGUUGUGAAGUGAAUCAAUGAUUUGGUGUUUAAGAACAGCAUCUGAUCCCACAUAUAUUCUUCCUUUAUAUCUCAAAAUGCCAGAAUGAAGAGUAUAAGGGGGUGUUGCAUUGGCUGAUACAGUGAGCUUCUCAAGCAGAGAUUUGCAAUGAUCAUCAUUAGUGUAGCUGGUUUCUAUAGUUGAAGCCCAAGCAGGAGUAACUGCAGUGACUGCCAUCACAAGACCUGGAGAUAUCAGAAGUGAGAAUGCUGACAUGAGUAACGAGAAAUCCUGUGAAAAACACAAUCGCCUGCCAGUGGAAGGCUUUCUGCAUUCAGUUAAUCUACGCAGAGUGAAUCGGUCCCUAAGGAACCCCCGAAAGGGCUGCCGUCCGAUGGGUACACGAAAGUGACAAAGUUGCUUUGACUACUGAACCAUGCCUAGAUCGUCGGAGCGAAUUGGAUGAUCGGGCCGAGGGCUGCCCCCUCUUCCCCUCGCUCUCCUUUCCUUAAUAUUCACCGUCGAGUCAUCAAAGCCGUAAACUAAUUCAGAGGGGCUCGGCUGGCCCGGUCGCCCUACGCUACUGGCGCUUCCAAAGGCGAAGCUCUCGUCUUUGGCGACCAGCAAACGGAGGGCUAAAACCUAUAGUUUUGAAGCAAGGGAUGAGCGCGAAAGCCGUUGCGCUUCCGUACACAUGCAUACAUUUUCUUGCUGGGGCGGACACGGUUUCUCUCUAAAGGCGAAGAAAAAGAAGUGGGCGAACACUCGGCCCAGCGGGCGAACAUGCCGGCUCCAGCUCCGCGCACCUGCUCACACCUUUCGAAGCACUUUCACGUGUGAACCGAAGUCGUCUUGCCGAACUCCUUCCUUUCUCAUUUCAGUCCUCGCCUUUUUCAUCUUCCGUAGGGGCCUUUAGUCUUUUGAUUAGAGUGGAGGUCGCGAGAGAGCAGAGCGUACCGCCCUGCCAUAGUCGCGAGGAUCUUAAUACUCGGUCACGACUGUUGUCAUAGUCAAUGACGGUUGAAACUUCCAGGAAAAAACUUCGAAUUGGGAGGGCGAUCCUCCCGGUGAACUGACCGUACCCCAAACCGGCACAGGUGAACAAGUAGAGUAUACUAGGGCGCGUCGAGAGAACCAUGUCGAAGGAACUCGGCAAAAUGACCCCGUAACUUCGGGAGAAGGGGUGCUCUCCUAUCUUUUGAUUAGGAAAGUGGCACAUACCAGGGGGUAGCGGCUGUUUAUUAAAAACACAGGACUCUGCUAAGUGGUAACACGAUGUAUAGAGUCUGACACCUGCCCAGUGCUGGAAGGUCAGAAGGAGAAGUGUGAUAAGCUUUGAAUGGAAGCCCCAGUAAAUGGCGGCAGUAACUCUAACUGUCCUAAGGUAGCGAAAUUCCUUGUCGCAUAAGUAGUGACCUGCACGAAUGGUGUAACGACUGCCCCGCUGUCUCCGACAUGGACCCGGUGAAAUUUAAUUCUCCGUGAAGAUGCGGAGUACCAACGGCUAGACGGUAAGACCCCAUGCACCUUCAUUAUAGCUUCGUAGUGACAACCUUGAUUGAAUGUGUAGGAUAGGUGGGAGGUGGUGACACACAAUGACCAAUCCUGAAAGACCACUCUUUCUUCUAAGGAUGCCUAACCGCCGCACCGAUCAUUCGAGGGGGGGGGGUGGCGGGACACUGCGAGGUGGGUAGUUUAUCUGGGGCGGAUGCCUCCUAGAGUAACGGAGGUGUGCGAAUGUAGGCUCAAGCGUUGAUUCUUCUCGUGAGCGUAAUGGUAUAAGCCUGCAUGACUGUGAGACCGACUGGUUGAACAGAGACGAAAGUCGGCCAUAGUGAUCCGGGAGUCCCAUGUGGAAGGGCUCUUGCUCAACGGAUCAAAGGUACGCCGGGGAUAACAGGCUGAUGACUCCCAAGAGCUCUUAUCGACGGAGUCGUUUGGCACCUCGAUGUCGACUCAUCACAUCCUGGGGUUGAAGAAGGUCCCAAGGGUUCGGUUGUUCACCGAUGAAAGUGGCACGUGAGUUGGGUUUAGAACGUCAUGAGACAGUUCGGUUCCUAUCUACCGUUGGUGUUAAAGGGAGAACUGCGAGGAGCCAGCCCUAGUACGAGAGGACUGGGCUGGGUCAACCUAUGUUGUACCGGUUGUUAUGCCAAUAGCAGCGCCGGGCAGCUAAGUUGGUAUGGAAGAACUACUGCACCGCGGGAAAUCCUUCUCUAUACAAGUUCUCAUACGAGGUUUUUGAACGGAACUUCGAUAGGCGAGAGGUGUAAGCACCGCGAGGUGUGAAGCGAUCUCGUACUAAACGAAUGGAAAUUGACAAU